Molecule: ribosomal RNA, 385 nt
Filed under: uncultured bacterium
Lineage: Bacteria
Description: bacterial SSU rRNA
Rfam family: Bacterial small subunit ribosomal RNA
Source: RNAcentral
AACGAACGCUGGCGGCGGGGUUUAGGCAUGCAAGUCGAGCGAGAAAGCGCAAGCUGAGUACAGCGGCGUAAGGGUGAGUAAUAGGUAGCCAACGUACCGGGCAGACGCGAAUAGUUUCCCGAAAGGGAUUGUAAUGCGCGAUGAGAUCACGGGCACCACGGUGCAUGGGAUCAAAGGUCGGGGAUCCUUCGGGACCUGGCGCUGUCUGAGCGGACUACCUCUGAUAGCUAGUUGGCGGGUAACGGCCCACCAAGGCGAUGAUCAGUAGCCGGCCUGAGAGGGUGUCCGGCCACACUGGGACUGAGACACUGCCCAGACUCCUACGGGAGCUGCAGUCGCGAAUCAUUCACAAUGGACNCAAGUCUGAUGAUGCCACGCCGCGUGC